Lotus japonicus is the source of this 698-nucleotide long non-coding RNA. RefSeq lists it as uncharacterized. The transcript has 3 exons. Lineage: Eukaryota; Viridiplantae; Streptophyta; Magnoliopsida; Fabales; Fabaceae. The record is from RefSeq and is a predicted model, not a curated record.
UUGGGGCCCCCCCUAUGGGGCUCCGCGCCCCACCUCUUUUUUUUUAACCCAUAAAUGCCCUACGGAACUUAAACUUCCGUAUUCUAUAAAAUAGAAUACGGAAGUUAAAAUUCCGUAUUAUAACUCUGACAGUCAUCACCUUUUCCACCAUUACUCCUCCCUCCACCAACCCCUCCACCAUUACUCCUCCGUCACCAACCCCUCACCAGCCCCCUUAACCCCCUCAAUGCCUCCAGACCACCCUCUCUCUCACCCUCUCCUACCUCACUUUCAUCCUCACUUCCAUUCUUCCUACCACCACCACCAACUCCUUCAUUGGCAAGCUCUCCACCAUUGGAUGCAAAAAGAUAGCAUUUGAGGGAUGACAGAAUCAUUUUUAUUUCAUGAAUCCCAAUUGAUUGAAGUUGGAUUGAACAAUGCUCAACCUGAAGAGGUGCCACCACCAGCAUUUGUACCCCCGUGUAUAAGUAUAGAUGUCUCGCAUUUAUUUACAACUGAUCAGAUUUUCCCUACCCGUGAUGAUCUUAUCAAUUGGGUUCAUGGAAUUGCGAUUGAAAAUGGAUAUGUUGUGUUGAUCACAAAGUCAGAUAGCGGUGGGAAUGGAAGCAGAAAAGCUUAUGUCAUGUUGGGGUGCGAGAAGCAUGGUAAGUAUGUUCCCUACAGAGACCCUGACCUUGUUGAAGGAACGAGAACACAAA